CCUACGGGGGGCAGCAGUGGGGAAUAUUGCACAAUGGGGGAAACCCUGAUGCAGCGACGCCGCGUGAGUGAAGAAGUAAUUCGUUAUGUAAAGCUCUAUCAGCAGGGAAGAAAAUGACGGUACCUGAGUAAGAAGCCCCGGCUAACUACGUGCCAGCAGCCGCGGUAAUACGUAGGGGGCAAGCGUUAUCCGGAUUUACUGGGGGUAAAGGGAGCGUAGACGGCAGUGCAAGUCUGGAGUGAAAGGCGGGGGCUCAACCCCCGGACUGCUCUGGAAACUGUACGGCUGGAGUGCAGGAGAGGUAAGUGGAAUUCCUAGUGUAGCGGUGAAAUGCGUAGAUAUUAGGAGGAACACCAGUGGCGAAGGCGGCUUACUGGACUGUAACUGACGCUGAGGAGCGAAAGCGUGGGGAGCGAACAGGAUUAGAUACCCCAGUAGUC
This 440-nucleotide ribosomal RNA is filed under the name uncultured bacterium. RNAcentral describes it as "partial 16S ribosomal RNA". It matches the Rfam family "Bacterial small subunit ribosomal RNA", at positions 338 to 795 of the family's 1533-position model. The record is from RNAcentral.